ACUCCUGCGGGAGGCAGCAGUGGGGAAUUUUGGACAAUGGGCGAAAGCCUGAUCCAGCCAUGCCGCGUGCAGGAUGAAGGCCUUCGGGUUGUAAACUGCUUUUGUACGGAACGAAACGGCCUUUUCUAAUAAAGAGGGCUAAUGACGGUACCGUAAGAAUAAGCACCGGCUAACUACGUGCCAGCAGCCGCGGUAAUACGUAGGGUGCAAGCGUUAAUCGGAAUUACUGGGCGUAAAGCGUGCGCAGGCGGUUAUGUAAGACAGUUGUGAAAUCCCCGGGCUCAACCUGGGAACUGCAUCUGUGACUGCAUAGCUAGAGUACGGUAGAGGGGGAUGGAAUUCCGCGUGUAGCAGUGAAAUGCGUAGAUAUGCGGAGGAACACCGAUGGCGAAGGCAAUCCCCUGGACCUGUACUGACGCUCAUGCACGAAAGCGUGGGGAGCAAACAGGAUUAGAAACCCGGGUAGUCCCAUGA
This 474-nucleotide ribosomal RNA is filed under the name uncultured organism. RNAcentral describes it as "partial 16S ribosomal RNA". It matches the Rfam family "Bacterial small subunit ribosomal RNA", at positions 335 to 800 of the family's 1533-position model. The record is from RNAcentral.